Molecule: long non-coding RNA, 400 nt
Filed under: Fukomys damarensis (Damara mole-rat)
Lineage: Eukaryota; Metazoa; Chordata; Mammalia; Rodentia; Bathyergidae
Description: lncRNA (ENSFDAG00000025169.1)
Source: RNAcentral
AUGGGUUCAGCUGCCAGGCACGGCGAAAUGAGCUUCCAUCCACGUGGAGUAGGCGCGGAGGCCCCUUCCCCGCCUGGGCCCCGCCGCGCAGGAUGGGCGCUCGGCUCCGGCGCCUGGGCUGUGCACUCCGCGUGGGCGGGAGGCCUAAACGGACGACCUUGGGCUCCGGAAAGCUGGCCUGCGCACUCAGGUCACCCUGUCCUGUUUACCGGAGCAGCUCCGGCCCCCAGGGGUCACUCUAGAACAGUGGUGGCAAUCCAGUGGCACGCGUGCCGCAGCAGGCUGUUUGUAUCAUUGAAAGCUCUGGAAGGUUCACUAUCACUGCUCUAGGAUUUAAGAGUAGGAACCUUUACCUUAGUCUGCUUUCAAAAACACUAUACCUUUUAGUGUAUAACGUAAG